Molecule: long non-coding RNA, 305 nt
Organism: Gadus chalcogrammus (walleye pollock)
Lineage: Eukaryota; Metazoa; Chordata; Actinopteri; Gadiformes; Gadidae
Exons: 3
Source: RefSeq, a predicted model, not a curated record
CCUUAGCAACGUGUAUCUGAACCAGGAAGUACUCUUCCCCUUCGAGCUACAUGGCUAUGGAUAGCGCAUACAGGCCAUGACGCUUGUCAAGCUAUGCAGGGGUGAUGGAGGAUCUAAUCACCUGUGUUGAGGAGCAGCCGCAACCGCAACCGCCUUCCUCUCUUCCAAACUCAUGGACCAAUCAGCACUCAGACUCAGCUCAGAGGACAGACGAAGAGCCCAAAGCUGUCGGUGGAUUUGUAUUAGUACACGCUGGGGCCGGAUACCAUUCUGAGUCAAAGGCCAAGGAGUACAAACAUGUCUGC